Molecule: ribosomal RNA, 231 nt
Filed under: uncultured Glomus
Lineage: Eukaryota; Fungi; Glomeromycota; Glomeromycetes; Glomerales; Glomeraceae
Description: partial 25S ribosomal RNA
Rfam family: Eukaryotic large subunit ribosomal RNA
Source: RNAcentral
AGAGACCGAUAGCGAACAAGUACCGUGAGGGAAAGAUGAAAAGAACUUUGAAAAGAGAGUUAAACAGUACGUGAAAUUGUUGAAAGGGAAACGAUUGAAGUCAGUCGUGCUGGCGCGAAAUCAACCCUCUCGUCGGGAGACCCAUGUUGUGGCGAGCCUCAAAACCGCCACAGCAUGUGUCUCACGAUGAGGGGGAGCACUUUCGUGUCCGCUGGUAACAUCAAUUCGAAC